Molecule: long non-coding RNA, 325 nt
Organism: Orcinus orca (killer whale)
Lineage: Eukaryota; Metazoa; Chordata; Mammalia; Artiodactyla; Delphinidae
Exons: 4
Source: RefSeq, a predicted model, not a curated record
UUAGAAUCAUCAUACCUGAAUCCACUCAUUAUGCUGCUACGGGCCUGAUGACAUAGAUUUCAUUGCUGAGUGAUAUUGCUUUUUAGAAUCAUCAUACCUGAAUCCACUCAUUAUGCUGCUACGGGCCUGAUGCCAUAGAUUUCAUUGCUGAGUGAUAUUGCAUUUUAGAAUCAUCGUACCUGAAUCCACUCAUUAUGCUGCUACGGGCCUGAUGACAUAGAUUUCAUUGCUGAGUGAUAUUGCAUUGUACUUAGAAUCAUCAUACCUGAAUCCACUCAUUAUGCUGCUAAGGGCCUGAUGACAUAGAUUUCAUUGCUGAGUGAUA